This 87-nucleotide transfer RNA is filed under the name Morchella conica CCBAS932. It matches the Rfam family "tRNA". From Rfam's summary of the family: Transfer RNA (tRNA) molecules are approximately 80 nucleotides in length. Their secondary structure includes four short double-helical elements and three loops (D, anti-codon, and T loops). The record is from Rfam by way of RNAcentral. Lineage: Eukaryota; Fungi; Ascomycota; Pezizomycetes; Pezizales; Morchellaceae.
GCCUCGCUAGCUCAAUCGGUAGAGCGUGAGACUCUUACAAACAAUUGUGAUAUCUCAAGGUUGCGGGUUCGACCCCCGCGUGGGGCU